GAUGAAGAACGUAGCGAAAUGCGAUAAGUAAUGCGAAUUGCAGAAUUUCCGUGAGUCAUCGAAUCUUUGAACGCACAUUGCGCCCCCUGGCAUUCCGGGGGGCAUGCCUGUCCGAGCGUCAUUUCUGCCCUCAAGCACGGCUUGUGUGUUGGGUGUGGUCCCCCCGGGGACCUGCCCGAAAGGCAGCGGCGACGUCCGUCUGGUCCUCGAGCGUAUGGGGCUCUGUCACUCGCUCGGGAAGGACCUGCGGGGGUUGGUCACCACCAUGUUUUACCACGGUUGACCUCGGAUCAGGUAGGAGUUACCCGCUGAACUUAAGCAUAUCAAUAAGCGGAGGA
This 338-nucleotide unclassified non-coding RNA is filed under the name soil metagenome. RNAcentral describes it as "partial contains 5.8S ribosomal RNA, internal transcribed spacer 2, and large subunit ribosomal RNA". The stretch from base 1 to 121 matches the Rfam family "5.8S ribosomal RNA", at positions 35 to 154 of the family's 154-position model. The record is from RNAcentral.